RNAcentral lists this ribosomal RNA (318 nucleotides) under Triticum aestivum (bread wheat). RNAcentral describes it as "partial small subunit ribosomal RNA". Lineage: Eukaryota; Viridiplantae; Streptophyta; Magnoliopsida; Poales; Poaceae. The record is from RNAcentral.
AUGUUGCUGAAUUCUUGCAAGGAGCACCAGGGCGAGCAGCAAGGUGGACGCAGCGGGGAGCACCUGCGAGCAGCAAGGUGGGCGCAGCGGGGAUCACCUAGGCGAGUAGCAAGGGAGGGCUCCCUGGGUGCAGUGGCAAGGGAGGGCGCCCUGGCGCGGCAAGGGAGGGCCUGGGCGUGGCUGGGAGGGCCUAGGCGCGGAGAGGAUGGCCUGCGCGCGACCUGGGGACCGAAGCUGGGCGGCGAGGACGAGCGCCUGGGCGCGGCCUGGGGACCGAAGCUGGGCGGCGAGGACGAGCACCUGGAUGCGGGGACGUGA